CGUAGGGUGCAAGCGUUAAUCGGAAUUACUGGGCGUAAAGCGUGCGCAGGCGGUUUUGUAAGACAGGCGUGAAAUCCCCGGGCUCAACCUGGGAACUGCGUUUGUGACUGCAAGGCUAGAGUAUGGCAGAGGGGGGUGGAAUUCCACGUGUAGCAGUGAAAUGCGUAGAGAUGUGGAGGAACACCGAUGGCGAAGGCAGCCCCCUGGGCCAAUACUGACGCUCAUGCACGAAAGCGUGGGUAGCAAACAGGAUUAGAUACCCUGGUAGUCCACGCCCUAAACGAUGUCAACUAGGUGUUGGGUGGGUAAAACCAUUUAGUACCGGAGCUAACGCGUGAAGUUGACCGCCUGGGGAGUACGGCCGCAAGGUUA
Molecule: ribosomal RNA, 372 nt
Filed under: uncultured organism
Description: bacterial SSU rRNA
Rfam family: Bacterial small subunit ribosomal RNA
Source: RNAcentral